This 89-nucleotide non-coding RNA is filed under the name Clostridium cavendishii. RNAcentral's name for it is "Glycine sequence". It matches the Rfam family "Glycine riboswitch aptamer". From Rfam's summary of the family: This family represents the bacterial glycine riboswitch. Glycine riboswitches usually consist of two metabolite-binding aptamers domains with similar structures in tandem. Lineage: Bacteria; Bacillati; Bacillota; Clostridia; Eubacteriales; Clostridiaceae. The record is from RNAcentral. RNAcentral also lists the same sequence under 1 other name.
GGAUGAACCCUUGGAGAGACUCGAAAUAGAGCACCGAAGGAGAAAGCUAUAAAAGCGAAACUCUCAGGUAAAAGGACAGGGGAAAGGUA